RNAcentral lists this ribosomal RNA (292 nucleotides) under uncultured bacterium. RNAcentral describes it as "partial 16S ribosomal RNA". It matches the Rfam family "Bacterial small subunit ribosomal RNA", at positions 505 to 796 of the family's 1533-position model. The record is from RNAcentral.
GUGCCAGCAGCCGCGGUAAGACAGAGGGUGCAAACGUUGCUCGGAUUUACUGGGCGUAAAGCGCAUGUAGGCGGGACGAUAAGUCGGGUGUGAAAUCCCUGGGCUCAACCUAGGAACUGCAUCCGAAACUGCCGUUCUGGAGUAGUGGAGAGGAAAGCGGAAUUCCGGGUGUAGAGGUGAAAUUCGUAGAUAUCCGGAGGAACACCAGUGGCGAAGGCGGCUUUCUGGACACUAACUGACGCUGAGAUGCGAAAGCGUGGGGAGCAAACAGGAUUAGAUACCCUAGUAGUCC